GUUCUUGUAGUUUAAUGUAACGGUGGCUUUUCAGGCCAGAGGUCUUGGUUAAAUUCCAGGCAGGAAUU
RNAcentral lists this transfer RNA (68 nucleotides) under Maurolicus muelleri (pearlsides). RNAcentral's name for it is "tRNA-Glu". It matches the Rfam family "tRNA". From Rfam's summary of the family: Transfer RNA (tRNA) molecules are approximately 80 nucleotides in length. Their secondary structure includes four short double-helical elements and three loops (D, anti-codon, and T loops). Further hydrogen bonds mediate the characteristic L-shaped molecular structure. tRNAs have two regions of fundamental functional importance: the anti-codon, which is responsible for specific mRNA codon recognition, and the 3' end, to which the tRNAs corresponding amino acid is attached (by aminoacyl-tRNA synthetases). tRNAs cope with the degeneracy of the genetic code in two manners: having more than one tRNA (with a specific anti-codon) for a particular amino acid; and 'wobble' base-pairing, i.e. permitting non-standard base-pairing at the 3rd anti-codon position. The record is from RNAcentral. Lineage: Eukaryota; Metazoa; Chordata; Actinopteri; Stomiiformes; Sternoptychidae.